This is a long non-coding RNA of Symphalangus syndactylus (siamang), 512 nucleotides long. RefSeq lists it as uncharacterized. NCBI's taxonomy places the organism in Eukaryota, Metazoa, Chordata, Mammalia, Primates, Hylobatidae. The record is from RefSeq and is a predicted model, not a curated record.
UGAAGCCGCAGUGAGCCACUGCCCUCCAGCCUGAGUGACAGAGCAAGAUCUUGUCUCCAAAAAGAAAAAAAAAAUGUUGCUGAUAAUUCAAGCAACAUGAAUAUACUGCAUGAUUAAAUUUCUCAACUAGAAGAUAUACAACUAUAGACUAUAUUUCACACAAAGACACUGCACAUCCUAUUACGGAGGAAAAGUGAUGAUUUUUGGUGUUACCAUUUAGACAACAGAGCACAGAGUAUUCAGGGAAAGUUAUGAAUCCGAACAUUAAAGAUCGGAAUGUUCUUGCCAUGUGAAGCAUAAAAAGUAAUGUGAACAUAACCUUCUCUUCUUAUCUAUGAAAUUGUGAUUCCAAUGACAAAGCUUUCUCAAUAUCAUUACCCUCUGGGGGUUAUGCCAUGUCCUAAAGUAAAGAGUCUGUACUUUGAAGUCAGCAUGGCUUUGGAUGACUUUCUUAAUAGAUCUGAACUUCCAAUUUCUCAUCAAUAAAUUAUUAUCUUUCUCAUUGAUUUUAA